RNAcentral lists this ribosomal RNA (911 nucleotides) under Staphylococcus aureus. RNAcentral's name for it is "partial 23S ribosomal RNA". It matches the Rfam family "Bacterial large subunit ribosomal RNA", at positions 537 to 1455 of the family's 2925-position model. Lineage: Bacteria; Bacillati; Bacillota; Bacilli; Caryophanales; Staphylococcaceae. The record is from RNAcentral.
AGUGAAAUAGAACCUGAAACCGUGUGCUUACAAGUAGUCAGAGCCCGUUAAUGGGUGAUGGCGUGCCUUUUGUAGAAUGAACCGGCGAGUUACGAUUUGAUGCAAGGUUAAGCAGUAAAUGUGGAGCCGUAGCGAAAGCGAGUCUGAAUAGGGCGUUUAGUAUUUGGUCGUAGACCCGAAACCAGGUGAUCUACCCUUGGUCAGGUUGAAGUUCAGGUAACACUGAAUGGAGGACCGAACCGACUUACGUUGAAAAGUGAGCGGAUGAACUGAGGGUAGCGGAGAAAUUCCAAUCGAACCUGGAGAUAGCUGGUUCUCUCCGAAAUAGCUUUAGGGCUAGCCUCAAGUGAUGAUUAUUGGAGGUAGAGCACUGUUUGGACGAGGGGCCCCUCUCGGGUUACCGAAUUCAGACAAACUCCGAAUGCCAAUUAAUUUAACUUGGGAGUCAGAACAUGGGUGAUAAGGUCCGUGUUCGAAAGGGAAACAGCCCAGACCACCAGCUAAGGUCCCAAAAUAUAUGUUAAGUGGAAAAGGAUGUGGCGUUGCCCAGACAACUAGGAUGUUGGCUUAGAAGCAGCCAUCAUUUAAAGAGUGCGUAAUAGCUCACUAGUCGAGUGACACUGCGCCGAAAAUGUACCGGGGCUAAACAUAUUACCGAAGCUGUGGAUUGUCCUUUGGACAAUGGUAGGAGAGCGUUCUAAGGGCGUUGAAGCAUGAUCGUAAGGACAUGUGGAGCGCUUAGAAGUGAGAAUGCCGGUGUGAGUAGCGAAAGACGGGUGAGAAUCCCGUCCACCGAUUGACUAAGGUUUCCAGAGGAAGGCUCGUCCGCUCUGGGUUAGUCGGGUCCUAAGCUGAGGCCGACAGGCGUAGGCGAUGGAUAACAGGUUGAUAUUCCUGUACCACCUAUAAUC